RNAcentral lists this ribosomal RNA (374 nucleotides) under uncultured bacterium. Its description in RNAcentral is "bacterial SSU rRNA". It matches the Rfam family "Bacterial small subunit ribosomal RNA", at positions 523 to 898 of the family's 1533-position model. The record is from RNAcentral.
AUACGGAGGAUGCAAGCGUUAUCCGGAUUUAUUGGGUUUAAAGGGUGCGUAGGCGGAUUGAUAAGUCAGCGGUGAAACUCACAGGCUCAACCUGUGCCGUGCCGUUGAAACUGUUAAUCUUGAAUGCGGAUGCUGUGGGAGGAAUGUGUAGUGUAGCGGUGAAAUGCAUAGAUAUUACACAGAACACCGAUUGCGAAGGCAUCUCACAAAGCCGUGAUUGACGCUGAGGCACGAAAGUGUGGGGAUCAAACAGGAUUAGAUACCCUGGUAGUCCACUACUGUAAACGAUGAUAACUCGCUGCCGGCGAUAUAAAGUCGGUGGCCCAGCGAAAGCGAUAAGUUAUCCACCUGGGGAGUACGACCGCAAGGUUGAA